Chrysemys picta bellii (western painted turtle) is the source of this 499-nucleotide RNA transcript. RefSeq lists it as uncharacterized. The record is from RefSeq and is a predicted model, not a curated record. NCBI's taxonomy places the organism in Eukaryota, Metazoa, Chordata, Testudines, Emydidae.
UGGCACCGCCCCGCACCCAUUGCGUCACAGAGAACGGCCUCCAAGCCCCAAGACACACCAACGGCCUCUGCACCCCGAUUGGCUGGCAGUCGGGGAGGGGGAGGACCCGAGCGGACCCUCCCGUCCUGAUUUGCCGUAUAGCUAAGCAGGACUGAAGUUUCACUAUAUAAACUGGGGUCCAAGAAGGAGAUCAGCAAAAGAAAAAGAAGGAAAGACCUGGAAGAAGAACUCACCUCUAAGACACAGCCUAAGAUCAGAGCUGCUAAGAAUCCUCUGCACAACCAUGAUGUGCAGCAACCAGAAGCCAGACGAGACCAACCUUGCCUGGCCAACAGGGAAAGUCCGCCUCCAUGAUCAGGAUUGUUUCCUUGCAAAUCAGAUCCCAGAACCAGCUUUGUGUGACACCCUGAAAAUUCCAUGCUAACAUGCCACAUCCACUACAGAGUGAACAUAGUUUUUAGGGUCAAGUGGAGGCUUUUUUUUUUAAUUAUUAUUAUUA